Molecule: long non-coding RNA, 1128 nt
Organism: Corticium candelabrum
Lineage: Eukaryota; Metazoa; Porifera; Homoscleromorpha; Homosclerophorida; Plakinidae
Exons: 4
Source: RefSeq, a predicted model, not a curated record
UGCUCUGCCUACUGGUACGGCACACUGGUCACAUGACGUUUCACGCUGGUCACAUGACACUCUCACAACUUGCGAUUUGUCGACACUGUACGUAUACGCAUAGCGUUGGGUCGGUAAGUCAACGAAGUUGUCACAGCUAAGCAAGCUAUAAUCUUAGUCGGCAAUAGAAAUUUGUGUCUAUAAAUGAUUUUGUCAGUCAGUCAGUCAGGGAACAUGAUGAAAUAGUUGCGGUUGGAGCAGUUGCCUUCAUGAACUAAAUCUUCAUCACAAGAAAGAAGUCUUUUAUCGGUACAUAGAUAAUGAAAGCGGCCGGACAUAGUUGUUUUUGACUCUGGUGCUGGCUCCAGCAGUGACCUAACUCGUAAGUAACCCUAACCCUAACAGAAGGAGGUUCAGAGCUAAGCAUAUGCAUGUUAGGUUGGCAUUAGAGGACGUUCUAUCCUGACUGGGUCUUUUUAAAAUUAGGUAUGAUAUCAUACCUUGGAUGGAGGAAAGUCUAGUUUUUCAACGAUUCUGCCUCCUGUCUACCAAUUGUAUAAGAAGGUCAAUCAUCUUGUUUAUUUGAUGGGUAAUCAAGGAAGUAUCAUCAAGUCUCACAACAAUGGCCCUGUCUCCUCUGUUGCCAUGUACCCUAUGGUUGUAUAUAGCACAACAAGCUAGGUAGAAGAACCAGAAUAAGCAUCAGUCCUUAUUUCAACAUUUUAGAAAGAGGAGGAAAGGCAAAAAACAAUCAGAAGAGGUCGUGUAACUCUUCUAUCCUUUAGAAGACUGUAAGAGGACCAUACUUUACUCAUGCUGAAAGGAAUUUUUUGUGGUAAGCUGGUUAUUCUGUUCAAAGAGGGAAUUGAGUCGCAAAGUAUGAGGAACUAAUUCACAGUUCGGAAAUCAAUCAUCAAUGAGUGCUUCUUUAGAGGCUUCCUUAGAAGAAGUUGAAUUAGGACAAGAGGAAUGAUAUAUUUAUUGUCGAUUCUAUAUCUUCGUUAGGCGAGAAAGAGGUGACUACUUUAUAUUUGAAGAUUAGAGGUUGCUUUAUAUAUUGUCUGUAUAGCAUAUGGUAUUUUGCUUUGAGACCUGUUGCUGGUUUUUAAAGUAUGUUCUGUAUCUAUGUUGAAGAUGUAUUACAAUAAA